Molecule: ribosomal RNA, 470 nt
Filed under: Lomentospora prolificans
Lineage: Eukaryota; Fungi; Ascomycota; Sordariomycetes; Microascales; Microascaceae
Description: Scedosporium prolificans Eukaryotic small subunit ribosomal RNA
Rfam family: Eukaryotic small subunit ribosomal RNA
Source: Rfam by way of RNAcentral
ACAUCCAAGGAAGGCAGCAGGCGCGCAAAUUACCCAAUCCCGACACGGGGAGGUAGUGACAAUAAAUACUGAUACAGGGCUCUUUUGGGUCUUGUAAUCGGAAUGAGUACAAUUUAAAUCCCUUAACGAGGAACAAUUGGAGGGCAAGUCUGGUGCCAGCAGCCGCGGUAAUUCCAGCUCCAAUAGCGUAUAUUAAAGUUGUUGUGGUUAAAGCUCGUAGUUGAACCUUGUGCCUGGCUGGCCGGUCCCCCUCACCGGGUGCACUGAUCCAGCCGGGCCUUUCCCUCUGUCAGGAACCCAAAGGCCUUCACUGGCUGUGGCGGGGAAACAGGACUUUUACUUUUAAAAAAUUUGAGUGGGCCCUGCCGGGCCAAGCUUGAAUAUAUUAGCAAGGGAUGAUAGAAUAGGCAGGUGGGGUGGAUUUUUGUGGUUUUUUGGACCUCCUUAUUGAUUUAUAGGGAAGAUUAGGG